GCAUUUGAUUUGGCUGCUCUCAGACUCGCUCUUUGUGAACCGUUAGAUUCCGUCCGACUGUAUUUGUCCAGAGCAACUUUAAUUGUUGUUCCGUCGUAUUUAGUUGAUCAUUGGAAAACCCAAAUCCAACAGCAUGUCAGACCUGGACAGUUGCAUCUUUUUGUCUGGACCGAUCAUAAAAAGCCUUCUGCUCAUAGUCUGGCUUGGGACUAUGAUGUUGUUAUAACUACAUUUAACCGUUUAAGUGCAGAGUGGGGUCGGCGAAAGAAAAGUCCAAUGAUGCAAGUUCAUUGGCUUAGGGUUAUGUUAGAUGAAGGGCAUACCCUUGGUUCAAGUCUUAACUUGACAAACAAAUUGCAAAUGGCUAUUUCAUUGACAGCUUCAAAUCGUUGGUUAUUAACAGGAACCCCGACUCCAAACACACCUAAUAGCCAGUUGUCACAUCUUCAACCAAUGCUUAAGUUCCUCCAUGAAGAAGCAUAUGGCCAGAAUCAAAAGGCAUGGGAUGGUGGCAUUCUUAGACCAUUUGAGGCAGAGAUGGAGGAGGGUCGAUCCCGUCUGUUGCAGCUACUCCAUAGGUGCAUGAUCAGUGCAAGAAAGACAGAUUUGCAAACCAUUCCUCUUUGCAUCAAGGAGGUGACAUUUUUAAAUUUCACUGAGGAGCAUGCAGGAACUUACAAUGAAUUGGUAGUUACAGUGCGGCGUAAUAUACUAAUGGCUGAUUGGAACGAUCCUUCACAUGUUGAAAGUUUACUGAAUCCAAAGCAGUGGAAGUUCCGAAGUACAACUAUUAGGAAUCUAAGGCUAUCCUGCUGUGUGGCUGGCCACAUUAAAGUAACAGAUGCUGGCGAAGAUAUUCAAGAAACGAUGGAUGUUUUGGUUGAAAAUGGCCUCGAUCCUCUAUCACAGGAGUAUGCUUUUAUUAAAUAUAACCUCCUUAAUGGUGGUAAUUGUCUCAGGUAAUACCUCGCUUUCGAGGUUUUUUAUGGGGUUUUCUCUGAAUUUCUGUGAAAUGUCUGAAAUUUUUAUUAAUACUAGUUUUAAAUCCUCUUAUUUUUGGCUUAGGUGCAAUGAAUGGUGCCGCCUACCAGUUAUUACACCCUGCAGGCAUAUCCUUUGCCUUGAUUGUGUUGCUAUGGACAGUGAAAAGUGCUCUUUGCCUGGCUGCGGUUUCUUAUACGAGAUGCAGAGUCCUGAAAUAUUAACCCGCCCUGAAAAUCCCAACCCAAAGUGGCCAGUCCCUCAAGAUCUUAUUGAGUUACAACCUUCGUAUAGGCAGGUACGCAAUCUUCAAAGUUGAAAUACUUCUAUCAACAUUCCUAUUAAAACUGGAUUAUUUUUAUUUGUCAACGUUCAUAUGUAAAGAAUGUUAACAGUGCAUUUGUUUACACUUAUUUAGGAUGAUUGGAAUCCUGAUUGGCAGUCAACAUCUAGCAGUAAAGUUGCUUAUCUUGUAGAGAAGUUGAAAGUAUUGCAGGAGGCUAAUUGGGAGAUAUGUUAUGCUUUUAGUGAAGACAGUAGUGUCAAACACAUUGAGGAGCUACCUUUCACCCCUCAGUGGAGCAAUACAAACACAUUUUUGAAGCAAGAUUUAUACAGACAAAAUUUGGAGUCUAACAAGGCACUCCCUGAUAAAGUUAUUAUUUUUUCUCAAUUUCUUGAGCAUAUACAUGUCAUCGAGCAGCAGGUAGCAGUAUUUUCUCAUUUUGUAGGCAUGCCUUUUUGUGGUUUAUUUCAUAGACAGUGGAUUACAAAUUGCUCGUCUUUUUGGCAGUUAACAGUUGCUGGUAUCAAAUUUGCUGGUAUGUACAGUCCAAUGCAUUCUAGCAACAAGGUGCUUUGUCCUCAAUUUCCUGCAACUAGUUUAUUUUUUUUCAAUUUUUUCUUCUUUUGCUCUAAGUUAAUUUGCUUCUUCUUUAACAGAUAAAGUCACUGGACAUGUUCCGGCACGACGCUAGCUGUCUGGCUCUUUUAAUGGAUGGAAGUGCAUCAUUGGGUCUUGAUUUGAGCUUUGUAACUCGUGUGUUUCUAAUGGAACCAAUCUGGGAUAGAAGGUAAUAAUAUUUUAUCUUCUUUUUAUCUUCUUUUUUAUUUGAUAAGGAAGGUAAUACUAUUUUAUCAUGAUCAAGGAUAUUUGAGAUUUUGCUUAAAUGAGUUUCUUACUUUCUUCAAUGCCUCAAUGUUAGAUUAGUUACAAGUUUUAUUUUCAUACAAAUUUAUAUUUAGGGAAUUGGAAAGAAUGUGUUAUUAUCUGCUAUUAAUAUAGUUUUGCUUCAUACAACCUACUGCGGCAGGUGCUUUUCACCAACGCAUUUGUAACUAAUUGCGUAUAGAUUUUGGAUUAUUCUUAUUGGAUUUUUGUGUCUGAACAUCUGUUUAACACCUUAAUUGAUCCUUCUUUUCUUUUAACCUAAUUGGAGUUAAAUUGUCUCAUUUGUUUGAAACCCUAUCAGCAUGGAGGAACAAGUCAUUAGUCGCGCUCAUCGGAUGGGCGCUACUCGUCCUAUUCAUGUGGAAACUUUGGCAAUGCGUGGUACAGUUGAAGAGCAAAUGCUUGAAUUCCUACAGGUAUAGUCUGAUUCUAAUAUUAUUUCUUCUGUCAAAUCAGUGAUUGUGCAUCAGGUAAUUUAAAUAUGGAGAGAACUCCUCAAUUGUAGUGAAAAUCUAGUAGCAAAUAUGCAUUUGAUAGAUUUUGGUAAAAUAGUUUCCAAAUAUGUGAGCAGAAUCUCAAUUAAGUUUUUCAUAACUGAAAUUAAGGUACAUUCCUUUAACAAUUACCCUUCCGUCUAAUUGUUGUUUGGGGGGGGGGGGGGGGGUUGAAAAANNNNNNNNNNNNNNNNNNNNNNNNNNNNNNNNNNNNNNNNNNNNNNNNNNNNNNNNNNNNNNNNNNNNNNNNNNNNNNNNNNNNNNNNNNNNNNNNNNNNNNNNNNNNNNNNNNNNNNNNNNNNNNNNNNNNNNNNNNNNNNNNNNNNNNNNNNNNNNNNNNNNNNNNNNNNNNNNNNNNNNNNNNNNNNNNNNNNNNNNNNNNNNNNNNNNNNNNNNNNNNNNNNNNNNNNNNNNNNNNNNNNNNNNNNNNNNNNNNNNNNNNNNNNNNNNNNNNNNNNNNNNNNNNNNNNNNNNNNNNNNNNNNNNNNNNNNNNNNNNNNNNNNNNNNNNNNNNNNNNNNNNNNNNNNNNNNNNNNNNNNNNNNNNNNNNNNNNNNNNNNNNNNNNNNNNNNNNNNNNNNNNNNNNNNNNNNNNNNNNNNNNNNNNNNNNNNNNNNNNNNNNNNNNNNNNNNNNNNNNNNNNNNNNNNNNNNGGAUAUUGACUUGAAUUAAGAAUACAUAGAUUGUGAAAAUGAUGUAUAUAUGAUUUUAUAAUGAAAACUGCACUUAGUUAUAUUGUUUCACAUUUAUUGCCUUGCGUCAGCAUAUAGGAGCCUGUGGAUCUAUCUUGGCCCAGUACUAACAGGUUUGGGGCAGCAUGUCUGAAUCCUGUGAACUUGAUGAGAUCCUAUAGCAGUACAAAGAUUCUCUGGCGCUUUUAUCCAGUCAUCUGUACAGUAGAGAGAAUAUAUACUUGUUCUGAGAGAGAGGGAGGGAGAGAGAGGAUGGAAAAGUUCUGCAUUAUUAUGUUUAACAAUAAUUGUCUUUCAAUAGAUCGCUCUCUUGUAAUAUACACAAACAUUUUGGUCAUUACAUUGUCUACUAAUUGACUCAGUUUAAUAAUUUGCUGCAUGCUUCUCUAGGAUACCGAUAGGUGUAGAAGAUUGUUGAAAGAAGAGCUUGUCAAACCUGAACGUGAAGGGGCUCGAUCUCAUCGUACACUACAUGACUUUGCAGAGAGCAAUUAUUUAUCUCAUCUUAGCUUUGUGCGAACAAACUCAUAGGCAAAAAGGUAUAGGGAUACACAUACCCCAUAACCCAUAAUCCGCAGUUAGUUAUUACUUCACAGAAAAGAGCAUUUUACAUUUUCCAUUGUGGAGGAAAUAAAGCUUGGAACUUGUUGGGUGAAAAAGUUAUCUGGAGUUUACCUCAUCUUCAUUCUCUGUAAGUCAAUGUUAUUAGGAUAUGAAUUUUUCUAUUCUAUAGUAGAUAUUUAUUAUAAUUUCUAUUGAUGAUUUAAAAUAUUAGAGAUGCAUGUCUGUAGGGUAAGACAUUAGGAAACUUUAAUUAUGAGCUUGGCUAUUCUUUCACCAUUGUUGAAUUGGGUGAUGACGUGUCUUAAAAGAAUCAUUACUUAUUUGUUUAUGUUUUGUCCCUAUUUGAAAUUGAAUUAGUUAUCAUUUUUGUGAUGUUCAUCAUUUGCAACCUGGGCAGGGCUUUAGAUUGUGAUGUUGGAAUUGCAUGAGAAUGAAUUCCUGUCCCACAAAAUAUGAGAUAGCUUUCAGUUGAAGUUUCAAGUUCCCAAUUCCAUGCUGCAAUCUAUAGAUGGUUUGAAUUUGGGUCUGAAGGAUAUCCAAGAUGCCCAUCAAGGUGCCUAUUCUUUUGAUUAACUGGCUUAUUAUGUCAGUUUCAAUAAGUGUUUCCGUAAAUUACGUCCCAGCGCCUGUGCACCCUCUUAGGCUUGUGCAGCUAAGUUUGCAUGUUAAAAAUGUCAUCUUUUUUCUGCAAAGGUCUACUGUUGGUUGAAUUUUCGAUCCCAACCACGGAGCACAUAGGCCUUGAAAGGCUGUACAGAGCUAGUGGCUAGACCCACGAUCCACUGUUUGCAGGGUUCCAUUCAUGUUGAGAAUGGAUAAUUAAGAUUGUGUUGAGCAGGCAAGUUUUGAAUUGAACAUCUAUUUUCCCCAGAAUCCACAAAUUGCCUGUGCGUAUUUGCAACCCUGUAGAUUUCAUUGAUAGAGAUGUUGAUUAUUUCUCAUAAUCUAUUGUUAUGAAUUUACUGAGAUUAGUACUUUUUAUCCACCAGGCCCUCGUUUUAUUUUCUGAAGAAUCAUUCAUAUCUGGCACGCAAGAUUGCAAUGGACGAUGAGUUGGGCAUGCGGAUAAGUUAUUGUGCCUUUGUAGAGCUGGUUAAAAAUUUUCUGUUUUAGCCGUGUAUAUAUAAUAUAUUUGUUGUGAUAGCAAUUGGAUGACUGCUAAUCUUUUUCCAAUUUAACAUUCUGAUUUAGCGCAUUCUUUGUAUCCUAUAGAUCAAAUUUCAAUACGAAUCAUAAUUGAACUGUUGUUUUUAUUGUUCAGUUUGUGAGUUUUAUGUUCUCUUAAAACAUAUUUCCGUUUUGGAAAUUAAUAAAUCAAAUUUGAGAGGGUAAUAGCUGAUGUAGAUAUCUUUCAUUUCUUUAUUUAUUGAUUUUCUUUUUAAUCUCGAACAGGUAAAAACAAGUUGAUCCAUUAUGAAAGUACAGAUGCUCUCACUCAUUACAAAUAGUAUGUUCAGUACUAGUAAAAAGGGGGGAAAAGAAAAAGGAAAAAAGAAAGGCAAAAAUUGUUCAAUAAAUUCCAGGCUUGGUUAGUUCAUGAUCUAAUUUGAAAGAAACAAAUGCAUCGAAGGUUAUGGGUUUUGGCACUGCAAUUAUCUCCUUCUUCAGUUCAAUAGCUAACUUGAAAGAAACAAAUGCAUCGAUUGCAGCAUAUCGAAUCUGUUGUUUACUCAGUUUGUUUACAUCCCAUUUACUCAACGUAAUACGUUUAGAUUUCUCCAUCUCAACGUGAAGGAAUUUUAGAACCAAUCUCUUUAACCCAAAUCUCUUCAACUCUUCAUCAUCAUAUUUUGCUGCAGCCAUAUCAGCAACAUCCAUUGUUCUUGCCACAUUCAGUCCAUAAUCUUGGUAUAGUUUAUUGGCGUCGUUCUCGAUUCCUUUCCCCACGAACGUAAACUUAUCAUUCUCAAGAAAAUCGACAAGAGAUUGCGGCAUUCUGUCUUUGUGGCAUAGCUGAAAUACAAGACAUCUUUGGCCUACACAAAGUUGAAUGAUUGCUACUUUCUGGUGUUUGUUUGUCUCGGUGGGCAAACACCAUUCUGUAUCAAGACCGACAACAAGUUUGUGAAGCCUCCAACGAUGAACGUUGAUCGUUCGAGCUAUCCAACGAUCAACAUCCGAAGCACAAGAAGUCACCGCUGUGACAAAGUAAUCUUCUCCGAAGUUGAUACCCCAAAUGUUAUAGCCUAAAGGCUCAAUACUAGAAGAAGAGUUGUAGGCUAAAGGUUUGAUUUCGGCUGGUUUUGGUGACAAAGUCUUCAUAGCCAUAGAAGGUGGUGAUAAAAUUACAAGAAAUGAAAUGUGUUUAUGCAAAGUGAAUGAAAGGAAAAUAAAUAAAUAAAUAAAGAUAGCAAUGUUGUGGUUCUGAAAUGCAUGAUAUUUAUGGAGUUGUAAGCCUAUUGAUGCAUAAACAAUAAUCCAGUUAUAACAUCCCACCAACAAGUAACAACAGACAGAACAAAUUUUAAUUUAUCUUUCAUUUAUCAGUGAAUCUGAUCACAGUUAACUAGCUAACUCUACACCGGUAAAAGGUUGUUUUUUUUUUUUUUUUUCGUGUUUUUGUUUUAAGGAUUUUUUUUUGGGGAUUUGUUAAAAUAAAAGAAGAAAAAUACUCUUGAAUUAGAUAAAAUCAGCGGAAAAUUAAGGUUAGAAUAUUUCAAGCAACAAUUUGUUAUAUUUGGAUGCAUUUAAAGAAGCAUUAUUAUAGAAACAAAUUAUAACUUUUAUCUCAAAAUAACUAUAUAUUGUAGUCAUUUUCAAAUAUUAUCAAAUAGAAAAAAAAAAAUCCUCCACCUUGCAUAUAUGGAUAGCAAUAAAGAUUUGAAUUAUUUAAAUACAACAGAUAAAACACAUUUUUAUUACAAAAAGAAACUUAUCAUUAUCCCUAUUAGCAAUCUCCUCAAACAUACCACCAAUGAUAAUCUCACUGGUCAAAAGGAUUUAAAAACAAGAAAACAAAACUACAAUGGAAAAUGACAUUUAACUAGAAAAUUUGACAAAUAAAUAAACAAUGGAACUACACUAUCUUAUACAUAAUGUAAGAUAUAGCAAAUCCAUGAGUUGUCACUUAUAACAACUCAAUUAUUUUACAUGCAGUAAUUUUUUAGUUUUAGGUAACAACUCGAGAGGGUUGUUGUACAUUACAUAUGAUGUAACAAUAUAGCAUGACUCUGAACUAUGAUAAAUAUUCUCGGUUUUUUCAUUCAAUAGAAAAAUAAAAUAAAUUAACACCGAUUUAUCACUAUUUCUCUUAGUACAAUAACUAUUUGACUAGUUAGAGUGAAUACAUUUCAUUCAUUGGAAUGAUAAAGAAGUCCAAUAGUUUUAGUGUUAAACUUUGGAUUUCGCUCAGUCAUUUUAUUCUAAAAUAUGAAGCAUUUUAUUAGUACUUUAUUUUUUUACUAAUUUUAAUUUUCAUUGACAAGAAUCAGGUAAGCCAAACCAUGAAUCGAUGUAAUCGAAGUACUGUGCUUGAUAUCUUCAUUGCAGAAGUUCUAAACUUCAAUUCUGAUUUUUGGGGUAAGCCCGCCAAUAUUUGGUCACUUUGUCCUUUUUUUUUUCAUUUUUUUCCCCAAUUUAUCAGCGGAGAGCUAAUAUUUCUGCUUGAUUAUUGUGUAACUUUGACAUUGCAGCGGACCAAGUUCACGAGUAUUCUGGAAAAGUUGGGUGAGUAACUUAAUUUGUAACUUUUGUUGUUGUACUUAAUAGUGAAUUGUAUUUCAUUCAUUCUAAAUAUGACAAAUUCUUCAACAUACUUUAUGUCAUUUAAUAUUUCCUGCUUAAUUUCUUUCGUGAAAGUUAUCUUCAGAAUCGAUGCAAUUAAAUUUAUCAUUUUUUGCAAAUAAUUUGAACCAUGUCAGGGUGACUUUUGUGUUUUUGUUAGCUUUAUACUUCUGUAAUAAUUAAUGGUUCCUUUAAUGUAAUUCAACCAUGUUAAUAAUUUUUUCUCAUACACACCAUGGGGUUGCUGAAGGUAAAAGCGGUAGAAUUAUAUGGAGUUGUUUAAUUUCUUCCUAUUGAGUUAUUUCAGGUGUUAGAAUCCUUUUUCCUUGAUGUCACGAGGCUCGAAAUGUAAAAGUAAAUGGAGAACAUGAAAUAACAUGGCUUGAUGGAAAGAAAGGAGGACAACAGCUGUUGAUAGGAAAACAAAUUUUUAGAUGAUACAAGGAAACAAUAUUAUUAUUAUUAUUAGGAAAAUACUGUCUAAGCAACCUAAGAGGGGGUGAAUUGGGUUUCUAAAAAUUUAUGCAAUGUUUGAACAAAAUUUAAUGCAAAUCUUGAACGAAUUUAAAAUAACAAUAAAUAAAUCAACCAAAAUUUAAAAAGAUAAGGGAAGAGAGAUUCAAACAUAGAGAUUUUUAUGGGGUUCGGUAAACCUUUCCUACGUCCACGCCUCCAAGCUCACCGAACUUGAGGAUUCCACUAGUCAAGCCUCCAAGGUUUUAAGAACACUUACAAUUGACUUCGCAGGUGUUAAUCAACCUUUACACCAAGAGAUAUCCCCAAUCUCUUAACCCAAUUGUAUCCCAACACUUACAAUCACUCAAAAUAAAGAUUACAAAUGUGUUUUUCUCUCACACAAAAUAUAUGAUUACAAAUCAAUGCUCAAUGUGUGAAUAAAUGAAAUAAGAACGAAUUUAAAGCUCAAUGAAUGUUGUAUUCUCAAUUACAAGCUCAAUGAUAGCGUUUUGAUCAACCCUUAUUUGAAUUUGAUUGACUUUAUUUAUAGUUGGAGCUGAAAAUAGCCGUUAUUGACUUUCUGCCAGAUAUCGGAUCGCCGUUAACUGUUAUCGGUUAACCGUUCUGACUGGUCCAAGGCACCGCUCCUUUAUGAUGAAGAAAGUGAUAAAACUCCAGAAAAUGAUAGCUCUAGGUAAGAUUGUUAAACGAUUUUCAUUAUAUUGAGUUUUACAUUCAUAAGAUUGUUAAACGAUUUUCAUUUUACCAAGUUUUACUUUCGUAUGAUUGUUAAACGAUUUUCAUUUUAUCGAGUUUUACAUUAUGUUAUUUGUGUUUUUAAUCCAUUUUUCUUACUCUUCUUUCUAUUGUUAAACGAUUUUCAUUUUAUCAAGUUUUACACUAUGUUAUUUAUGUUUUGGGUCCUUCUAUCUUACAUGCAUGUAAAAUACAUUCCUCUCACAUGAAUAGUGUGUGGGUCCCACACAUGCACUAUUCAUGUGAGGGGGAUGUAUCUUACAUGCAUGUAAGAUAGGGUUUGCCUUAUGUUUUUAAUUCGUUGUUCUUACUCUUCUUUCUACAACGACAACGAACAAUUUGUGCCAGUGGUAGCACCACAAAUGAUAACACACAAUAAGUGAGUUAGAACCAGUGCUUAUUUUAUUAAAUAAAUCCUAACUAAUGUGCAUAAAUGAGCUCAUGUUAAUUGUUAACCACCAAGUUGUUUCUGUUAUCAACUUGGGCUAGAUUUUUUAUUGAAAAUACUUUAACUUAUAUCAAUUAGCUGGAGAGUUUAGUAGCGUUUUCAGCAUCUAGCUUUACUAAAGUUGUAGUCCACGUUAUGCAACUUCUUUUCUUGUCAUAGAUACAUUUUCUUGAAUUGCUCAAGUCCUUUUGCACGUCUUUGGAUGGAAUUUAAUUUUUGAGCCUUUAAUGUAACUUGUCAAAGCCUUCAGUAUUGUGUCCGCAAGAGUUUGUCUCCUGAGUUACAAUUUAGCUAAAUUAGUUCUAGCCUUAGAUUUUGUAAAUGAAUAUUAGUUGAACUUGAUAUGUUAAUGUAAUUCAAUAAUGUUAAUAUAUAUUCUCAUACACAUUGUAUAUAUUGAUUUUAUUUCAAAUGGUAGUAUCGUUUUCUUCUUGGGAUAUUUUCUCAAGGUGUCUGGCUCAUUCCCAAAAUGUUGACAUUAAUGGCGAACAUAAAGUAAGAUGACUUGAUGGAAAUUAAAUCAUGUUAAUAAUUUAUUCUCAUAGACGCUAUGAGUUGCUCAAGGUAAACUGAUUGAAUCAUCUAUGGUUGUUUAAUCUCACACAUUGCAUCAAAGCAUGUUAUAGUGGUCAUGGUGGUGCACCACAAUGACCACUAUGGUUGUGCACAGCCACAAGCAUUAUGGUUUUAGUACCUAACCCAUCACCUGAUGCAACUAGUUGAUAAAUUGUGUUCAUCAAUUUUAGGUCGACAAUAAAAGAAUGGUACUAUUGAAAAUGCAAAUUUUACAAAAAAUUCUCUUAUUAUAUAUAUGUUUGUUAAUUACAGGUUUUGUACUUUGUAUGUACACCAAAAUUUUAAAAUAAUAAUAAUAAUAAUAAUAAAUGAGGAAAUAUUCUUGAACUUCGAAUAAAAACAAGAAAGCUUAACUUAAGAAUUGUAAACUAAAACUGAACUAAAUCCAAUAUUAUUCAAAUAGUAUCUUCUUCGCCAUCUUUUUAUAUUUUACCAUACAAUUAAUUAUGUUUCAUUUAUAAACACGACGUGACAAUGACCACCCAUCAAUAUUUCUCAACCUUUUUGUCAAGUCAUUUUAAUUUUCAUUUCUUCUUUAUUUGAUUUUGGCAUCUUAAAAAAUAAUUAAAAAUAAUUGGUGGAAUGAUUUUGACCUUUAUUUUAUUUAUUUCUUAAUAGAAGUUAAAAUAAUGAACAAAUUUUAAGAUAUUGAGUUCCAAAACCUGCAACUUUAAGGACUUCAACAACUUAUCGUGAACAAAUUUUAAGAUAUUUCGCUAACUCCUAAUUUGCGCCAAUGGUGGCACCACAAAUGAUAACACACAAUAAGUGAGUUAAUUAUUGUUUUUAUUGUUUUUUGAAGUCACUCUUUAAAAUACCUCAGUAUUCUCAUGAACACUGAUGCAUCAUAGGUGAGUUAAUGACUGUUUUUAGUUUUUUUUUUAAAUCACUUUUUCAAAUAAUAAGCUCUUGAAGUAUUCUCAUGAACACUGAUGCACCAUGGGUGAGUUAUUGAUUGUUUUUGGUGUUUUUGAAAUCACUUUUUCAAAUACUAAGCUCUUGAAAUAUUCUCACGAUCAUUAACGCGUCAUAAUUAUUGUUAAAUGACAUGGAGAUUGUACGCUACAGGUGAGUCAAUCUUUUAUUUUUAUGUGUUUUGAAAUUAAUUUUAGAUACUUCUGAUAAUGUUGUUUUGUUAUUGAUAAUUUUGUUUUCUGUACACUUCAUACAUGAAUAGUGUUCUUAUUUUCUUGUUAUCAUUAUAUUGCUCCUCAUUUUAUUUAGUCUCACGAAACACACUACUUGUUUUUUUUCUGAUUCCAAAUUACUUUUUACUCGUUUGUUUAAUGAGCUAUCUGUAGUUUACACGUUUUUGGUUUCUUUGCUCGGAUUAUUCCUCUAUUUUCAAAAAGAAAUUAGUAUUGCUUUUCUUUUAAUGAGGUAUAACAUUUUCCAGGGGGAUUGUUCUAGAAAGUGGAGAAUUGAGCGGGACUAAGUCUAACAGCGGAAAAAACAAAGCUAAUCCUCUUACCGCUAAUCCAUUAGGCUAGAUUGAGGAAGGAUGAGCUCAGUGCUAUUUUCAUUCGGUUAAACGCGAAGGAGUUUUCUUUCUAUGGGCUGCGUGUUACGAUUUCUUAACGGAUCGACCACUGAUUUUACAAGCUUCCUUUUCCAAAUCGGACCUCGAGGUUUUGAAAUGGGCCUUGUUAUUGGGCCAGCUUUUGUUCCAAUAACAAACCGACACGAUUUUUUUGAAAUAUUUUAAUCGUUAACUGUUGGCUUGAACUAUAUAAUUUCGGUACUGAUUUUAUAUUUAUUUCUAUUUUUACUAACAGGCAGCAUUAAAGGAUGUUAUUGAUGAAUUACUAAGGAAGCCUUUGAGAGCAACUUUUAUUCUCCGCAAGGUUGACCAAACCUUUCAUCUGCAAAACACUCUCGUCGUGGUAUGAGAAUUAUCAUGACACUUUUAGACUUAAAUCAUGAUUAUUUAGAAAGUAAAUGACAUGUUUGUAUUGCAUUUUAAUUUUAUUUUGCAUGAAUAUCCAUUUUAGUUUAUUUUUAAUAAAUUGCCUUGUUUUAGAAUAAUUUGUGUGUUUAGAUUGUAUGCAUAAUUGUAGGUGACCGAAAGCUCAAAUUUCAAAGAAUGAAUGUUGCUACAAUAGACUUGCAAAAGAUGAAAAAGAACUUGACUAUAGAAGAAUUGAAACAAGUCUAAAAUAGUGCAUAUGUUGUAGCUCUUGCUAUAGCAUCCGUUGCUGUAUUAUUCGUUGCUGUAGCAAUCCUGAAACAACGACAAAGAUGAUUUCGCUUGAGAUAUUUAGAUGAUUGCGAUCUAGAGUUUCAUAAUCUGGAAGAUAUGCGCCCUAAACUUCUGUUUACCCUAAUUUUCAUCUAUAAAAGAAGUACACACACAAAAGAAAAGGAGAGUCAUUAUCCAAGAAGAAAAACCACAAAGAAACAAAAGAAAAACAUAAUUCAAGAUAGAUUUUGAAGGCUGCACCAGAGGAGAAAACGCAGAGAUCCAUUGAAAAUUAGUCCUUCUUGUUCUUUCUUGUUUUCUAUUUAUUCAUGGGGAUAUAUUUGAUGGUUACAACUCUUUUCUUUAUUUUUCUUUUGCAAACCAUGAACUAAAAUUAUUUAUGGUUGAGUGAUAAACAAUCUUGAUGGUUUAUUUACUAAAUAUAUGUGUUGCUGCAUGUUUGCUAUAACAUUUUAUUUUGAUAGUAUUUAUUUCUAUUUAUUAUUUCAGCUGAUCACCCAUUUAAUGAUACUAGCUAAGAAAGAGCCACAAAAGACCUUAUCUUAGUGGAACAUAUCAGAGCAAUACUUGGUUUUAGAUUGAAUUUCCUGAGUUGAGUUUACUUGAUUCUAAAAAGGCCUUGCUUAAUCUAAAAUUAGGGAUGAACUAAACAUAGUGAUUCACCUUGUAGAGUAAUUAGAACCUAAGCGUAUAAUGCUAUAUCUUAUAUUGGCGUAACAACUUAUCACUGUUAGGUUGCAUAUAUGUAUAAGAUAUCCAACAUCAUAAUGAUUAUGCGUAGUGUUAUAGCAGAUGCAAUAGCAACCAAGCCAAACAUUAGAAAAAUAGUCAAAACCAUUAAGUGAAUUUCAUCACUCAACUAUUCUAUAUUCUCAUUGGUUUUAUCCUUGAAUUUAACGUGAUAAUUUACUUUGUUGUAUUUCAUUUAGUGCAUUUUUAUUUUAAUUAGUAUAUUAGUUUCAUUAAUUUUUUUAUUUUAACUUAACAAAAUCUACACUGUUAAUAUUGUUGUAACAAGUCUGAUAACAUCAAUCCAUGUGGAAAAGAUCUUAAAUAUUCAUCAUUAUAUUACUUGUUGUGUACACUUUCACAUUAACACCCAUAACAUUAAAAAGUUACAACAAGUUUUUAGCGCCGUUACUAGGGAUUGAUUGUUUAUUAUAAUUUGUGAAAUUAGUUUUAACGGUGCUAAUUUUUAAUUCUAUUUUAAUUUGUUUACUUUGUUGGCAUAGGUGAUCUAGCAGUCAUAGCAUGCGCAAAUAUAAAUCUGUUUAAUUCCAAUUUGACACAAAAAUUUAAAGAAUUGUAAGGAGAUUGAGAAGAGAGCAUUGGAAAUUACAAGCUGUUGUAGCAAUGGAUAAUUUGCAAGAUAUGAGAAACUUGAAUCCCCGAGGAGAACUACAACCAGUCAAUGUACAUGAACGUCUGAAUGGACAAAAUGUUCAAUGAAAACCAGGGAAUAACAACGUUAUUCACAUGGUGAACAAUAGAGAUAGAGCCAUUCGAGACUAUGCAUUGUUGACUCCUCAUGUGCAUACAUCCUAGAAUAGUUAAACCCGAUGUUCAAGCUGACAAUUUUGAGCUUAAACCCAUCAUGUUUCAGACAUUGCAGACAGUGGGGCAAUUAAGUAAGUGAUGCCUUUAAAAUUGUUGGAGCAACGAAUGAAGCAUUGAGACUCAGACUUUUCAUGUUUUCUUUGAGAGAUCAAGCAAGCGUAUGGUUGAAUUCUUUAUCACCUGAUUCCAUCACUACAUAGAAUGACUUGGCUGAUAAAUUUUGGAUGAAAUACUUCCCACCGACCAAGAAUGCAAAAUUGAGGAAUGAGAUCACAUCUUUCCAUCAACUUGAAGAUGAGAGUUUGUAUGAUGCAUAAGAAAGAUUUAAGGAGUUACUUAGGAGAUGUCUUCAUCAUGGUAUUUUGUGCUGUAUACAAUUGGAAACUUUCUAUAAUGGUCUCAACCCAAACACUAGAUUGAUGGUGGACACUUCAGCAAAUUGGGCCUUGUUGUCUAAAUCUUAUAAUGAAGCUUAUGAAAUUUUUGAGAGGAUAGCUAAUAAUAAUUAUCAGUGGCCAUUAACUAGACAAGUUGCAACAAGAGGAGCAGCAGGAGUUCAUAAUGUAGAUGCCUUGAUAGAAUUAUCAGCCCAAGUAACUUUAACAAUUUUGAUGAAGGUGCUAUGACUACUGCUCCAGUAACUAUUAACCAAAAUUCUAAUGUGUCUUGUGUUUAUUGUGGAGAAAAGCAUUUAUUUGACAAUUUUCCUAGAAAUCCAGCUUUAGUCAAUUAUGUGGGCAGCUUUAAUAGACAAAAUCAGAACAAUCCAUAUUCAAACACUUACAACCCUAGAUGGAGACAACACCCUAACUUUUCAUGGAGUAAUCAGAAUCAGCCUGCUGCAACAUCCAAUGGAUAGAACAGACCUGCUUAGCACCUGAAUUCUAUCAGCAAAAUCAAGGGCAAAGAAGCAUCAACAAUGAUCAACUCAGCUCCCUUGAAACUUUGAUUAAGUAUUAUAUUGUGAAGAAUGAAGCAGUUGUCCAAAGGCAUGCUAUAUCUUUGAGAAAUCUGGAAAAUCAACUUGGAUAGCCUGCUACAGCAUUAAGCAACAUACCUUAGGGUAGUAUGCCCAGCAACACAGAGGAUCCAAAAAGAGAAGGGAAAGACUACUGCAAAGUGAUUUACUGGAGAUCUGGAAAGGAUGUUUAUAGUCCAGUUAGUGUACCAAAAAGAAGAGUUGAAUUCACUUCAAUCCAAAGAGAAACCCAAAUUGAAGAAGAGCCACAAUCCUCUACUUCACAACACACUGGUAAGAACAGCCAAGUUACAACAUUUACAGAAAAUGAUGAUCCAACACUUAUAGAUAACGAUGCUGCAUCACCAACCCAAAACAUGGUAAAAGAGAAGUAAUCUGCACAACCUGAUGCAGCACCGCAGUUUGAAAUGGGUCUUGUUAUUGGGCCGGCCUUCGCUUCAAAACAAACCGACACAAUUUUUCUUCUUUAAGAUUUUAAUCGUCAACCGCUGGCUUGAACUAUAUAAUUUUGCUUCUGAUUUUAUUUUUAUUUUUAUUUUUAAUAACAGGCAGCAUUAAAGGAUGUUAUUGAUGAAUUACUAAGGAAGCCUUUGAAAGCAGAUUUUAUUCUCUACUAGGUUGACAAAACCUUUAAUCUGUAAGACACUCUCGUUGUGGUAUGGACAAUUGAUUGUGAAUAAAUUUUUGUCUAUCCCUUUUUAGUUUUUUAAUUUUAGUUAUUAAUGUGGCAGUUCAAGGAGAUUUUUGGAUCAAGGGCAAAUGUUAUUGUCACUUUGUUAGCUGGUAUGAUGGGAACUAGAGAAGCUUUAGAUGUGUACCAAGAGGUUUGAUCUUUUUUUUUUUUAACUUUUUUUUUCAAUUUUUUUUCUUUUUUCGAUUCUGCAGGGUCAAUAGUUUUCUAUGUAAUUACAGGUGAAAUUUACAAAUACUCAGCAUAAUGAUUCUCACAUUGGGUUGUGCAUCUUUUUUCUGCCGGGAGUAAAGGUAAACACGUUUCCAGUAAAGAGGGUUUCAGUGCGGAAGGUAAUAAAUUUCCUUCUAGUCUAGUAUCUUUAUUGCAUCCUUGUUUUAUUUUAGCCAAUCAUAUGCUUUUGAGUUUCUCUAUUUACCAUCCAGAGCAUGUAACAUGUUUCGGACACUCUACGUAUAACGAAUCUUAAGGUUUAGUCUAAGAGUAAAGUAUGGAUUAAGUGAGUUGACCAACAAACCAACAAUGUAAUAAGUAUAUAAUAAAGUAUUGAACUAGUUUGCAUUCAUUUGUAUUACUGUGAUUUUGUAUGAAAGGUUAGGUUUAUUAGAAGUUGUAGAAGUGUGAGUUGGUUGUGGUCAAAUUUCCUAGAAACAGGCCUCCAGGGAUUAGGAUUAGGGCCAAGACAGUACCUGGAAAAUAUCUCCUUAAGAUCAUUAGUUUAGUUGACUUCUUAGCCAAAGGGAGGUGAUAAUAUAGAAUAUUCUCUACAAAGUAGAUAUCAUCAACAAGUUGAGAAUCAAAGUAACUACAUCAGCAUUUAGAGACUGCAAUUAAAGCUAAUGCUUAUUUUAUUAAGCUAGAUCCUAGCUCUUUUAUCAAAAAGACUUAUGUCCAUUAACUGAAGUCUUCAGCUCCGUUUUCAGCAGCUAGCUUUACUGAAGUUGUAGUCCAAGUAAUGUAACUUCUUUUCUUGUCAUAGAUUCUUUUUCUUGCAUUGCUUGAGUCCUUUUUCACGUGCUUGGAUGGAAAUUUUUGAGCCUUAAAUGUAACUUGUCAAGAGCCUUCAAUGUUGUUUCGGCAAAAGUUUGUCUCUUGAGUUACAAUUUAGCUAAAUUAAUUCUAGCCUCUGAUUUUAUGAAUGAAUGUUGGUUGAACUUGAUAUGUUGUAAUUCCCUCAGUAUUUUUGUUGAACUCUUUGUAUGCAGAAUAACAAGAAAACUCUUUUAGUAUACUUAAGCAAAAGCAUAAUCCAGGAAAAUUACAUCUUGGUCAAACAUGUCAAAUUUAAUAAUAUGAAUUUUGCUUAUGCAAUUCUGUACUUGGCUAAAUUAUAUAUAUUCUGACACUUUGUUUUAUAAUGUAAAACUUCGGGCUUUGUUUAGUCACUUUAUACAAAAAUAUGAAGCAUUUUAUCAUCACCCGAUUCUUUUAACUAACUUUGAUUUUCAUUGACAUGAAUUAGGCGAAUGAAGACAUGAAUCAGGCUAACGAAGACAUGAAUCAGCGAAGUAUUGUGCUUGAUAACUUCUUGGCAGAAGUUCAAGGCUUCUCUCCAUCGCCACUACUUAUUCUGAUAUUUGGGGUAAGCUCAUUAAUGUUUUCUGCUGUACGGCCAAGGCGGAUGUACGGUACAGCAGAGACUCGCUCUUUGUGAACCGUUAGAUUCCGUCCGACUGUAUUUGUCCAGAGCAACUUUAAUUGUUGUUCCGUCGUAUUUAGUUGAUCAUUGGAAAACCCAAAUCCAACAGCAUGUCAGACCUGGACAGUUGCAUCUUUUUGUCUGGACCGAUCAUAAAAAGCCUUCUGCUCAUAGUCUGGCUUGGGACUAUGAUGUUGUUAUAACUACAUUUAACCGUUUAAGUGCAGAGUGGGGUCGGCGAAAGAAAAGUCCAAUGAUGCAAGUUCAUUGGCUUAGGGUUAUGUUAGAUGAAGGGCAUACCCUUGGUUCAAGUCUUAACUUGACAAACAAAUUGCAAAUGGCUAUUUCAUUGACAGCUUCAAAUCGUUGGUUAUUAACAGGAACCCCGACUCCAAACACACCUAAUAGCCAGUUGUCACAUCUUCAACCAAUGCUUAAGUUCCUCCAUGAAGAAGCAUAUGGCCAGAAUCAAAAGGCAUGGGAUGGUGGCAUUCUUAGACCAUUUGAGGCAGAGAUGGAGGAGGGUCGAUCCCGUCUGUUGCAGCUACUCCAUAGGUGCAUGAUCAGUGCAAGAAAGACAGAUUUGCAAACCAUUCCUCUUUGCAUCAAGGAGGUGACAUUUUUAAAUUUCACUGAGGAGCAUGCAGGAACUUACAAUGAAUUGGUAGUUACAGUGCGGCGUAAUAUACUAAUGGCUGAUUGGAACGAUCCUUCACAUGUUGAAAGUUUACUGAAUCCAAAGCAGUGGAAGUUCCGAAGUACAACUAUUAGGAAUCUAAGGCUAUCCUGCUGU
This 17719-nucleotide long non-coding RNA is filed under the name Citrus sinensis (sweet orange). RNAcentral's name for it is "long non-coding RNA (CSIN_LNC001024)". The record is from RNAcentral. Lineage: Eukaryota; Viridiplantae; Streptophyta; Magnoliopsida; Sapindales; Rutaceae.